RNAcentral lists this ribosomal RNA (253 nucleotides) under uncultured bacterium. RNAcentral describes it as "partial 16S ribosomal RNA". It matches the Rfam family "Bacterial small subunit ribosomal RNA", at positions 524 to 776 of the family's 1533-position model. The record is from RNAcentral.
GACGUAGGGCGCGAGCGUUGUCCGGAUUUAUUGGGCGUAAAGAGCUCGUAGGCGGCUUGUCGCGUCGACCGUGAAAACCUUGGGCUUAACUCAGGGCUUGCUUUCGAUACGGGCAGACUUGAGGCAUGCAGGGGAGAACGGAAUUCCUGGUGUAGCGGUGAAAUGCGCAGAUAUCAGGAGGAACACCGGUGGCGAAGGCGGUUCUCUGGGCAUGUUCUGACGCUGAGGAGCGAAAGUGUGGGGAGCGAACAGG